UGGACAAAUAUGGACAUUACUAGGUGAAUUUUUACAUGUAAAUAAUAAGGGUAAAGUUGGUAUAUGGCUUAUAAUGUGUAAUAAAAUAAAAUAAACAUAAAAUGGCCAUGCAUUUUCACCUUGUUCAGUCGAAAAUUAGAGAAAGAAGAAGCCAUUGAAGCAUUUUGAUGUUCGGCUAGUGCAUGUCUUAAUAUGUGAGCUUAUUUUGUUCGG
This 213-nucleotide long non-coding RNA is filed under the name Gossypium barbadense (sea-island cotton). RNAcentral describes it as "long non-coding RNA (GBAR_LNC005310)". Lineage: Eukaryota; Viridiplantae; Streptophyta; Magnoliopsida; Malvales; Malvaceae. The record is from RNAcentral.